CUUGGUCAUUUAGAGGAAGUAAAAGUCGUAACAAGGUUUCCGUAGGUGAACCUGCGGAAGGAUCAUUAAUGAAUAAACUUGGUCAAGCUGUUGCUGGUCCUACGGGACAUGUGCACGUUUGCCACCAAUUUUAACCACCUGUGCACCUUUUGUAGACUAGAAAAUUUUCUCGAGGCAACUCGGAUUGUGAACUGCUGUGCGCAAGCCGGCUGUUCUUGAGUUUCUCAGUCUAUGUUUUAUAUACUCCAAAUGUAUGUAUUAGAAUGUAUUGCUAGGCCUUAGUGCCUUUAAAUCAAAUACAACUUUCAACAACGGAUCUCUUGGCUCUCGCAUCGAUGAAGAACGCAGCGAAAUGCGAUAAGUAAUGUGAAUUGCAGAAUUCAGUGAAUCAUCGAAUCUUUGAACGCACCUUGCGCUCCUUGGUAUUCCGAGGAGCAUGCCUGUUUGAGUGUCAUUAAAUUCUCAACUAUACAAGUUUUUUUAAACCUGUAUAGCUUGGAUCUUGGGAUUUGCAGGCUUUUACAAGUCAGCUAUCCUUAAAUGCAUUAGCAGAGCUUUUGCCGCUAACCUUUGGUGUGAUAAUUAUCUAUGCCAUUGAGUUACGACAUAUUGGAGCUCAGCUUCUAAUCGUCCGCAAGGACAAUACUUGACAAUCUGACCUCAAAUCAGGUAGGAUUACCCGCUGAACUUAAGCAUAUCAAUAAGCGGAGGA
RNAcentral lists this ribosomal RNA (712 nucleotides) under uncultured Basidiomycota. Its description in RNAcentral is "eukaryotic LSU rRNA". The stretch from base 301 to 454 matches the Rfam family "5.8S ribosomal RNA". The record is from RNAcentral. Lineage: Eukaryota; Fungi; Basidiomycota.